Molecule: ribosomal RNA, 460 nt
Filed under: uncultured bacterium
Lineage: Bacteria
Description: partial 16S ribosomal RNA
Rfam family: Bacterial small subunit ribosomal RNA
Source: RNAcentral
CCUACGGGAGGCAGCAGUGAGGAAUAUUGGUCAAUGGACGCAAGUCUGAACCAGCCAUGCCGCGUGCAGGAAGACGGCUCUAUGAGUUGUAAACUGCUUUUGUACGAGGGUAAACGCAGAUACGCGUAUCUGUCUGAAAGUAUCGUACGAAUAAGGAUCGGCUAACUCCGUGCCAGCAGCCGCGGUAAUACGGAGGAUUCAAGCGUUAUCCGGAUUUAUUGGGUUUAAAGGGUGCGUAGGCGGUCGGAUAAGUUAGAGGUGAAAUCCCGAGGCUCAACUUCGGAAUUGCCUCUGAUACUGUUCGGCUAGAGAGUAGUUGCGGUAUGCGGAAUGUAUGGUGUAGCGGUGAAAUGCUUAGAGAUCGUACAGAACACCGAUUGCGAAGGCAGCUUACCGGGCUACUUCUGACGUUGAGGCACGAAAGCGUGGGGAGCGAACAGGAUUAGAUACCCGGGUAGUC